Wallemia sebi is the source of this 85-nucleotide transfer RNA. It matches the Rfam family "tRNA". From Rfam's summary of the family: Transfer RNA (tRNA) molecules are approximately 80 nucleotides in length. Their secondary structure includes four short double-helical elements and three loops (D, anti-codon, and T loops). Lineage: Eukaryota; Fungi; Basidiomycota; Wallemiomycetes; Wallemiales; Wallemiaceae. The record is from Rfam.
GUGGAUGUGGUGUAGCGGUAUACAUUAUUCGUUGUGGACUCGCAUCGAAUCCGAAUAGCCCCAGGUUCGACUCCUGGCAUCCACA